This is a long non-coding RNA of Lynx canadensis (Canada lynx), 490 nucleotides long. RefSeq lists it as uncharacterized. The record is from RefSeq and is a predicted model, not a curated record. Lineage: Eukaryota; Metazoa; Chordata; Mammalia; Carnivora; Felidae. The transcript has 3 exons.
CCAAGGACUUCAGACAGGCUGAGUACCAGUGAAAGGGCCUCACGAAAGGGUCUGGACCAUUCUCCAGUCCCAGGUAACCUCCCCAACACAGAAAUGCAGACUGCCUACAAAAUAAAAAGCCUGUGUCCACAGAAGCAGAACAGGCCAACAACGGGUGGCAAAAGGCAGCAGCUGAAAGUUCGCUCUGGGACCUGUCCCUCACCCGGGCUAGCCAAAGGGUGCCUGCACAGGAUGAAAUGAACUCUUCGAUGCGAAAGAGAAUAUGGGUCUCCUCCGCUGUUGAAUUUUCAUGGAACACCCCUUGUCCUUAAAUUGGGGAGGGCAGAGCAACAGAGAAAGGUAUUCACCGAAAGGUCCGAUGGAGGCCCAUGUUACCUGUGCUUCCUAACCCACUUCUUUUAGGACAGACAACGUCUAGAACACUGCUGGACUGGAAAUAAGAAUACGCUGCAUUGGGGCACCUGAGUGGCUCAGUCAGUUGGGUGUCUGA